CCUACGGGAGGCAGCAGUAGGGAAUCUUCGACAAUGGGCGAAAGCCUGAUCCAGCAACGCCGCGUGGGUGAAGACUGCCCUCGGAUUGUUAAACCUCGUUGUUAGAGAAGAAAGUGCGUGAGAGUAACUGUUCACGUUUCGACGGUAUCAAAACAGAAAGCCACGGCUAACUCCGUGCCCGCAGCCGCGGUAAUAAGUAGGUGGCAAGCGUUAUUUGGUUUUAUUGGGCGUAAAGGGAACGGAGGUUGUAUUUUAAGUCUGAUGUGAAAGCCGUGGGCUUAAACGGAGUAGUGCAUUGGAAACGGGGAGACUUGAGUGCAGAAGAGGAGAGGGGAACUCGAUGUGUAGCGGGGAAAUGCGUAGAUAUAAGGAAGAACACC
Molecule: ribosomal RNA, 380 nt
Filed under: uncultured bacterium
Lineage: Bacteria
Description: partial 16S ribosomal RNA
Rfam family: Bacterial small subunit ribosomal RNA
Source: RNAcentral